CCUUCUCGAAUGAUGAAGUAUUUUCGGAUGUAAAAACAUUUAUUGUCUUGUCCGAGAGCGCAAAACCGUGUGGACAUUUUCCGUUGCCUUCCUUCUGACUCUCACC
Aureobasidium subglaciale EXF-2481 is the source of this 106-nucleotide small nucleolar RNA. It matches the Rfam family "Small nucleolar RNA Z13/snr52". From Rfam's summary of the family: Z13 or snr52 is a member of the C/D class of snoRNA which contain the C (UGAUGA) and D (CUGA) box motifs. Most of the members of the box C/D family function in directing site-specific 2'-O-methylation of substrate RNAs. Lineage: Eukaryota; Fungi; Ascomycota; Dothideomycetes; Dothideales; Saccotheciaceae. The record is from Rfam.